AUUGAACGCUGGUGGCAUGCUUAACACAUGCAAGUCGAACGGUAACAUGAAGUAGCUUGCUACUUUGAUGACGAGUGGCGGACGGGUGAGUAAUGCGUAGAAACAUACCUUUCAAUGGGGGGACAACUCAGGGAAACUUGAGCUAAUACCGCAUAAUGCCUUCGGGUUAAAGGUGGCUUCGGCUGUCGUUGAAAGAUUGGUCUACGUUGGAUUAGCUAGUUGGUAAGGUAAAGGCUUACCAAGGCGACGAUCUAUAGCUGUUCUGAGAGGAAGAUCAGCCACACUGGGACUGAGACACGGCCCAGACUCCUACGGGAGGCAGCAGUGGGGAAUAUUGGACAAUGGGGGCAACCCUGAUCCAGCAAUGCCACGUGUGUGAAGGAGGCCUGAGGGUUGUAAAGCACUUUUAUCAGUGAGGAAGUUGUUUAGGUUAAGAGCUAGAGCAAUUGACGUUAGCUGAAGAAAAAGCACCGGCUAACUCUGUG
This 485-nucleotide ribosomal RNA is filed under the name uncultured bacterium. Its description in RNAcentral is "bacterial SSU rRNA". It matches the Rfam family "Bacterial small subunit ribosomal RNA", at positions 30 to 507 of the family's 1533-position model. The record is from RNAcentral.